RNAcentral lists this ribosomal RNA (800 nucleotides) under Bacillus sp. M061017-7. Its description in RNAcentral is "bacterial SSU rRNA". It matches the Rfam family "Bacterial small subunit ribosomal RNA", at positions 31 to 808 of the family's 1533-position model. The record is from RNAcentral. Lineage: Bacteria; Bacillati; Bacillota; Bacilli; Caryophanales; Bacillaceae.
GUUUGUUCGAGGGGGGGGUUCUUAUACUUGCAAGUCGAGCGAACUGAUAGAAGCUUUGCUUCUAUGACGUUAGCGGCGGACGGGUGAGUAACACGUGGGCAACCUGCCUGUAAGACUGGGAUAACUUCGGGAAACCGAAGCUAAUACCGGAUAGGAUCUUCUCCUUCAUGGGAGAUGAUUGAAAGAUGGUUUCGGCUAUCACUUACAGAUGGGCCCGCGGUGCAUUAGCUAGUUGGUGAGGUAACGGCUCACCAAGGCAACGAUGCAUAGCCGACCUGAGAGGGUGAUCGGCCACACUGGGACUGAGACACGGCCCAGACUCCUACGGGAGGCAGCAGUAGGGAAUCUUCCGCAAUGGACGAAAGUCUGACGGAGCAACGCCGCGUGAGUGAUGAAGGCUUUCGGGUCGUAAAACUCUGUUGUUAGGGAAGAACAAGUACGAGAGUAACUGCUCGUACCUUGACGGUACCUAACCAGAAAGCCACGGCUAACUACGUGCCAGCAGCCGCGGUAAUACGUAGGUGGCAAGCGUUAUCCGGAAUUAUUGGGCGUAAAGCGCGCGCAGGCGGUUUCUUAAGUCUGAUGUGAAAGCCCACGGCUCAACCGUGGAGGGUCAUUGGAAACUGGGGAACUUGAGUGCAGAAGAGAAAAGCGGAAUUCCACGUGUAGCGGUGAAAUGCGUAGAGAUGUGGAGGAACACCAGUGGCGAAGGCGGCUUUUUGGUCUGUAACUGACGCUGAGGCGCGAAAGCGUGGGGAGCAAACAGGAUUAGGAUACCCUGGUAGUCCACGCCGUAAACG